This 672-nucleotide ribosomal RNA is filed under the name Mycena purpureofusca. Its description in RNAcentral is "eukaryotic LSU rRNA". It matches the Rfam family "Eukaryotic large subunit ribosomal RNA", at positions 1 to 653 of the family's 3401-position model. The record is from RNAcentral. Lineage: Eukaryota; Fungi; Basidiomycota; Agaricomycetes; Agaricales; Mycenaceae.
UUGACCUCAAAUCAGGUAGGACUACCCGCUGAACUUAAGCAUAUCAAUAAGCGGAGGAAAAGAAACUAACAAGGAUUCCCCUAGUAACUGCGAGUGAAGCGGGAAAAGCUCAAAUUUAAAAUCUGGCGGUCCCUGUGGCCGUCCGAGUUGUAAUUUAGAGAAGCGUUAUCCGUGCUGGACCGUGUACAAGUCUCCUGGAAUGGAGCGUCAUAGAGGGUGAGAAUCCCGUCUUUGACACGGACUGCCAGUGCUUUGUGAUGCGCUCUCAAAGAGUCGAGUUGUUUGGGAAUGCAGCUCAAAAUGGGUGGUAAAUUCCAUCUAAAGCUAAAUAUUGAGGAGAGACCGAUAGCGAACAAGUACCGUGAGGGAAAGAUGAAAAGAACUUUGGAAAGAGAGUUAAACAGUACGUGAAAUUGCUGAAAGGGAAACGCUUGAAGUCAGUCGCGUCGUUCAGGACUCAGCCUUGCUUUGCUUGGUGUACUUCCUGUUCGAUGGGUCAGCAUCAAUUUUGGUCGGUGGAUAAAGGCUUAGAGAAUGUGGCAUCUUCGGGUGUGUUAUAGCUCUGGGUCGCAUACAUCGGCUGGGAUUGAGGAACUCAGCACGCCGCAAGGCCGGGUACUUGUACCACGUACGUGCUUAGGAUGCUGGCAUAAUGGCUUUAAUCGACCCGUC